RNAcentral lists this ribosomal RNA (460 nucleotides) under uncultured bacterium. Its description in RNAcentral is "partial 16S ribosomal RNA". It matches the Rfam family "Bacterial small subunit ribosomal RNA", at positions 338 to 795 of the family's 1533-position model. The record is from RNAcentral.
CCUACGGGUGGCAGCAGUGAGGAAUAUUGGUCAAUGGACGCAAGUCUGAACCAGCCAUGCCGCGUGCAGGAAGACGGCUCUAUGAGUUGUAAACUGCUUUUGUACGAGGGUAAAUCCCGAUACGUGUAUCUGGUUGAAAGUAUCGUACGAAUAAGGAUCGGCUAACUCCGUGCCAGCAGCCGCGGUAAUACGGAGGAUUCAAGCGUUAUCCGGAUUUAUUGGGUUUAAAGGGUGCGUAGGCGGUUCGUUAAGUUAGAGGUGAAAUCCCGGGGCUCAACUCCGGCACUGCCUCUGAUACUGUCAGGCUAGAGUUUAGUUGCGGUAGGCGGAAUGUAUGGUGUAGCGGUGAAAUGCAUAGAGAUCAUGCAGAACACCGAUUGCGAAGGCAGCUUACCAAACUACGACUGACGUUGAGGCACGAAAGCGUGGGGAGCAAACAGGAUUAGAUACCCGGGUAGUC